Long non-coding RNA from Spea bombifrons (plains spadefoot toad), 461 nucleotides. RefSeq lists it as uncharacterized. Lineage: Eukaryota; Metazoa; Chordata; Amphibia; Anura; Pelobatidae. The record is from RefSeq and is a predicted model, not a curated record. The transcript is spliced from 2 exons.
GGGCUGGCAUGGGGGACACGAACCUCCGGGCCACUUCCAGUGAGGAAAUGCAGUCCCAGUACAUGGACAAGAAAUACCCAAGAUGCCCAACCCGGGUUUCCAGGAUCCAGUCCAGGACAUCAGGUACAGGUGUUGGGCAUCAGAACCCCCUGGAGCCUGACAAUCUGAGGAACUUUAGUGUGGAAACAAAGUUCCCCUGUGCUACUGGGGCAAGGGGAGGACCUGAAGAUCAGCUGAGCCAAGUGUAAUAAACCUACCUAGGCUGUACUGUACUGGGGGAGGUUUCCCGAGCCUGGCUUAGGUGGGUCUGACAGGGAAGUGAAUAGUUAGACAGGUGAGUCUGGGCCAGCAAAGUACAGCCAGCAGAAUGCUUCAAAUUGGAGCUGGGCUUUCCUUUCAUGACUUUGUUCUGGGGAGUUUGAUUUGUGAUCCUGCAAAUAAAUCACACGGUUUGCAGCAAA